UUUUGGCAUAACUGCAGCAUUGG
This 23-nucleotide non-coding RNA is filed under the name Cricetulus griseus (Chinese hamster). The record is from RNAcentral. Lineage: Eukaryota; Metazoa; Chordata; Mammalia; Rodentia; Cricetidae.